ACCUGAUGGUGUUUGAAUUCCGCAUGUUAUUCAAACUAAAGAUUCAUCGGUAACGGAUGGGGAUGCGUGACAUUAGGUAGAUGGCGGGGUAACGGCCCACCAUGCCUACGAUGUCUAGGGGGUUCUGAGAGGAAGGUCCCCCANACUGGAACUGAGACACGGUCCAGACUCCUACGGGAGGCAGCAGGUGAGGAAUAUUGGUCAAUGGUCGGAAGACUGAAACCAGCCAAGUAGCGUGAAGGAUGAAGGUUCUAUGGAUUGUAAACUUCUUUUAUACGGGAAUAAAACCACCUACGUGUAAGGUGCUUGUAUGUACCGUAUGAAUAAGCAUCGGCUAACUCCGUG
This 345-nucleotide ribosomal RNA is filed under the name uncultured bacterium. RNAcentral's name for it is "bacterial SSU rRNA". It matches the Rfam family "Bacterial small subunit ribosomal RNA", at positions 168 to 507 of the family's 1533-position model. The record is from RNAcentral.